UCAUUUCAUUUCCGCCCCUCAGCUGUUCUUACUCCUCUCUUAAAAAAGCUCUCGCAACUGUCUCUGAGUCUAUCGCCUAGACUACCAUCGCUGCUCAGCUCUGUUCAUUGCUCAGUCUUCUCCCUUUGCCCCUCAGCUGUUCUCAGUCCAACGCUUCGAAUCCUCCAUUCGACGAUGGUUUCCUGAAUCCGUUUGCUGACGAGCCGAUCUUUGUUUCGUCGCCAAUCUACGCUUCUGAAGGCUCCUCCGAUCCGAAAGAUGAGAAGCCGUUCGUAGAUGCUUUUGCGACGUCUAAUGCACCAGUUCUGCCGCCGCCAUCGAAAAUGCAAGAGGAGGGAUUUGCUCUCAGGGAAUGUAGAAGGGAAAUGCUAGAAAGAUGUUUGAAAAACGUUGUGAUGGGAACAGCCGGCUUGGGAAAAUUUCAAAACUAGGCUUUGCUCCUAUACUAUGGUGUAUAAUUUUUCUACUACUUGUAACAUAUAUCCAUUCAGUCAUCAUGGCUCCUACUCUACCAAAAUUAACUGCUGGCGGUGCUUUAUUUGCAUGGUUGGGUGUUUUCGUUGCAACUUCUGGACUAGUUAUGUUUUAUAGGUGUAGCAGAUUUUCUGUCAUUUUACAGUGCCAGGUCUUGUGAAAUACAACUAAUUACACAUUUGGUGUGCAUAUUUGCUUCAUGCUAAUUUAUUCAUUUUUUACUUAUGGUUUCACCAUUUAUAAUCAGAAACAUCUGUCUACUUCAUUUUUAGUCUUGCUCUCUGUGGCUCAUUUUGCAUCAUUAUACCCUAGAUAAAAUAGGAAC
This is an RNA transcript of Ipomoea nil (Japanese morning glory), 799 nucleotides long. It is a transcript of the gene named protein S-acyltransferase 24-like, with no coding region annotated. NCBI's taxonomy places the organism in Eukaryota, Viridiplantae, Streptophyta, Magnoliopsida, Solanales, Convolvulaceae. The record is from RefSeq and is a predicted model, not a curated record. The transcript has 4 exons.